Non-coding RNA from Kogia breviceps (pygmy sperm whale), 524 nucleotides. The record is from RefSeq and is a predicted model, not a curated record. NCBI's taxonomy places the organism in Eukaryota, Metazoa, Chordata, Mammalia, Artiodactyla, Physeteridae.
GCUGCCAGAGCGGCGUGAAAAAUUUCCCAAGGCAGAGCGAAAACCUUUCCUGAGCGACUGAGCAUGCCCGGUGGUGAAAGGGCAUGUGGUUUAAACUCUCCAUGGGCUGACAAAAUCAGAUUUCUGACUCUGCAAAUCUAAGAAGACUCUGCUCCUGGAAGGCCUCUCCACUGACAGACUGUUCCUGGUGCCUUCAUCCUCCUGCUGCUAUCUGGGACCCACUGCUCUCUAAAUGAGUCCUUAGCUGUGAUCCCAGACAUCCACCUGCCAUCAUCCUUGGAGCUCCCUUCCCCACUGCCCUGAAGUGGGUUUUCCAUUCCUUGGUUUACCUUCCCAUUUUGUUGGAACACCUCCUCCAGUAACUUCCUGAGAAAGGGUCUGGAGAUGAGCGUUCCAAGAUCAGUAAGGAUUCCAAGCUUCCGGAGACUCCAGUUGCUGUCUUGUUGCUCCACCAUCCCUCGGGCAUGGCCCUUGUCUGAAUGAAUAUUUGACCACAUGGGUGGAUGGAUGUUCCAGCCAGGAGG